Non-coding RNA from Lamprotornis superbus, 79 nucleotides. The record is from the annotation of a GenBank genome assembly. NCBI's taxonomy places the organism in Eukaryota, Metazoa, Chordata, Aves, Passeriformes, Sturnidae.
GCCUGUAAUAGAUGAACUCAGUUGGUCAGAGCCUGGUGCUAAUAACACCCAGGUCGUAGGUUCAAUCCCCAUAUGGGCC